RNAcentral lists this transfer RNA (67 nucleotides) under Marmota monax (woodchuck). RNAcentral's name for it is "tRNA.Ala". Lineage: Eukaryota; Metazoa; Chordata; Mammalia; Rodentia; Sciuridae. The record is from RNAcentral.
GGAUGUAGCUCAGGGGUAGAGAGCUUGCCUAGCACACAUAAGGUCUUGAGUUCAAUCCCCAGCACCA